GCAACAAUUAAGGUCGUUGAGGAACGAGCGUGAUCUUGUUGAAGACUAAGUUCAUCAUUUGAAGUGAUCUCUCAAAUUUGAAAGUCUUCGUGAUGAUGAAAAGCAGAAUAUGAUUUCAACUCUGGGUGAUUUGGAGUCUCGAAGGGAUCAAGUUCGUCUUGCUCAUCAGCAGGUUCAA
Long non-coding RNA from Hibiscus syriacus, 178 nucleotides. RefSeq lists it as uncharacterized. The transcript is spliced from 3 exons. The record is from RefSeq and is a predicted model, not a curated record. Lineage: Eukaryota; Viridiplantae; Streptophyta; Magnoliopsida; Malvales; Malvaceae.